UUUAAUGGUCAUGUGAUCUUGAAAGAGAACUGAGACUAGUAAACACUCUUUUUGUAGAGCUCAUGGAAAACAUGAAGGAUUUCAUACAGGAAAGCCUGGUGCUCAGGUACUACUAUACAGCUCAGAGCAAAGAAGAUUCCAUAACAACAGGGCUUCAUAUGAAAGCCUAUGGUACAUACAGAAAAAUCCAAGUGAAAAUGGAUUCAAGAACUCAUCCAAAGAUCCCUAUGCUAAGCUGAUACCUGAGUGGCCACAGGGCUUUGUCUGGGACUUGGGCUAAUGAUGCCAUAAAAGGAAACACAAACUACCAGCUCCUUAGCUCCUGGGAGUAUUUGCCUUAGGGACUCUGAGCAGGGCUUGAAGUUUGACAAUUGCUUAUGGGUGUACUCAGGGAAAUGCCAUCACAUUUAUUGUUGUUGCUCUUGUUUAUAUCCCAACACUGAUGGGAUUUGGAAAAUAAAUGGAUAUACACUU
This is a long non-coding RNA of Erinaceus europaeus (western European hedgehog), 474 nucleotides long. RefSeq lists it as uncharacterized. The record is from RefSeq and is a predicted model, not a curated record. Lineage: Eukaryota; Metazoa; Chordata; Mammalia; Eulipotyphla; Erinaceidae. The transcript has 2 exons.